UCUGUGUGAUUAUGAAUGCACUUCAUUUCAUUUUGUAUUUGUAGAUGUGCAAGUGUUAGUAUUGUCAGCGAGUAUUUGGUGACUUUCUUUAUUUGUGCAUCCUGUGAGAAACUGAGAAUAAAGGUUACAGUUAAGAAUACAUUCCAAGCUGUUGGGUCUUGUGAGUGGGACUUUCGCAUCUGCUGCAGAAUAGGACGGGGGUCGCAAGGAAAGGGAAAAGUAUAAAUCGUUAAUUGUAACAUCUUAGUUUUACAUCAUUUUCUUUCUUUACAGAAUAAAUUCGAUAUUCCGUUUU
Long non-coding RNA from Photinus pyralis (common eastern firefly), 295 nucleotides. RefSeq lists it as uncharacterized. The record is from RefSeq and is a predicted model, not a curated record. NCBI's taxonomy places the organism in Eukaryota, Metazoa, Arthropoda, Insecta, Coleoptera, Lampyridae. The transcript has 2 exons.